UACGAGGGGUCCAAGCGUUGUUCGGAAUCAUUGGGCGUAAAGCGGGUGUAGGUGGCUUUGUAAGUCAGGGGUGAAAUCCUGGAGCUCAACUCCAGAACUGCCUUUGAUACUGGAGAGCUAGAGUCCGGAAGAGGUGAGUGGAACUGCGAGUGUAGAGGUGAAAUUCGUAGAUAUUCGCAAGAACACCAGUGGCGAAGGCGGCUCACUGGUCCGGUACUGACGCUGAGGUGCGAAAGCGUGGGGAGCAAACAGG
RNAcentral lists this ribosomal RNA (253 nucleotides) under uncultured bacterium. Its description in RNAcentral is "partial 16S ribosomal RNA". It matches the Rfam family "Bacterial small subunit ribosomal RNA", at positions 524 to 776 of the family's 1533-position model. The record is from RNAcentral.